CUUUGGGACAUGACUGUGCUCUGAUAAAAGAGGCUCUUAGACCUGCCUUAACCUUUCUCCCACGGGAGAACACGGUUUUUAGAUCAAAAAGAAUUGUACUCAAGGAAUUGAAGCUAUGGAGCCUCUGCCACAUCUGGACCUGAUUUUGAUGACAAGAUCCUGUACCUCAAGCCCGAGACUAAUUUCAUAAUUUGAUGAAUCUUUUUGGAGAGUCAUGGGAGGAAUGUAAACAAUUUGUGGCCAAAGGAGAAUUAUGGUAGUUUGAAGAUGUGGAUACAAAUUAUUUGACAUUCUUCUCAUAGAAAGGUAACUCCAUAGCUGGGAGCCAAGUCUCGAAGCCCCAUGAGGGGAAGUGGAUACAUCUCAGAAUUGGGUUUCCUGAUACACACGACUGCAUCCUUCAUCUGCCAGGCCCUGGCAUUGUUUACUGGAGAAGAUGUCAUAGGAAAUUGGGCUAUGUCAUUGAGCCACUGGAGUCACACAUGAACAGCCAUUUGGAGAUUCUGGAAUUGAUGGUUCAGUUUAGGUAAACUGUAUGAUGUAGUGAAACAAUGUUGCCUGGAAUUCCUGAAGAGAAGACCAAUCACUAAAAUUUGAGACUACUGCACAAUUCUGAUAUCUGAAUCAUUUCCAUAGAUAGAUUUUGGUUAAAGCACCUGUGUAUAUUCUGUCAUUAUUAAUUUGUGUCUGCUUUUUUACGGUUUCUAAAAUCAUGUUUUUAAAUUUUACAAACUCAGGUAAAUAAAAUAAAAC
This 753-nucleotide long non-coding RNA is filed under the name Homo sapiens (human). Its description in RNAcentral is "HSALNT0294085". The record is from RNAcentral. Lineage: Eukaryota; Metazoa; Chordata; Mammalia; Primates; Hominidae.